ACAAAUCUUGGUGUAUAUCUGGGUGGUGGACUCAAUUUCAUGUGCUGUAUCCAAGGCCAUGCCAUCCUUUCCCUCUUCACCGGAGUGGAUCAGAAGUAUUUGAGCUCCUGCAUGAAUCAGACUCCAACCCCUUGGCUCCAAGAUGCAUCCAUGAUGAUGAGGUAAGUUUCCAGUCUUAGGCACUGACAGAGACAAGCUGGGAAGAAUUUGUCUCUAUGUGGCUGGAGAAUGACUGUGUCCUCCCAUAAGGGAGCAAAACUGGAAACCAGAAAAAGGAUCGCCUCUUGGCAGAGCCUCUGAAGUUCAACAUUACAGUAGCAAAAGGUCAGGAUGCAGUGCAAAUGUGGCUAAUCCUGCAGCAGCAGGGGCAGGGGAAAGGCUUUAUAUGGUACAACCCUGUCCUCCUUUUCUCAGGAAGAAUGUCUUUCAGAACAGCCCAGUGGAAGAAGCCAGAAGUGGGGGAUUCUUCACAUUUUUCUUGAAACCCCUUAAGGGAAUCCUAUCAAAGUAGAAAGCUGGUUUCAGCCUCCUGCUGUUACAAAUACCAUCUAAGCAACCUCAGGCUGACCUUAGCUGGUCAGUGACACUGGUCUUUCUCAGAAACCCACAGUCCUAAAAAAGAAGGAGCUGCUUUUUCUCUUUCCUCCCUUCCAUCACCCUACAGAAUGCCAGGCCAGAAAUGACAAACAAUCCCUCAACCUUCCAAGAAAACAAGGCAGAGCCACCUAGCGCGGAACAAUAGAGAAUGAUGAAGACACAGCCACAAUAGCUGGCUGUGGUUAACCUCAGAGGCUGCAGUCAAACCCAAGGAAAUUACAGAAAACCCUUAAACAAAUACAAUGGCCACGACUGUUUUCUCCCCAGGGGACCCAUAAAUAGAAGCUAGUGCUCCCGGGGAGGGAGGAGGGGAGAGGCGGGUGGCCACUGUUUGUUCUGCUGUGGUUCGGUGUAGGCUAAACUGGAGAUUAGGCUAUGAAAUCGAAGGCAGAGAGAAAGCAGGCAGUAAUGGCUUUUGGCCCUGAUUUUCACGUGGAGCUGCACAAAUCCAGGGCAGAAAAAAAUGUUGCAUUCCUGCACGGUUCUGCAAGGCUUGCGUGGGCUUGCUCCGUAAUUUGAAUGUGGAUUGAACUCACCUUGAGCCAAAGGUCAGCAACUCUGAAGGUUUUCCUAUCCCUAUUCCCUUCCGUGUUGCAUGGCCAAGGUUUGAAGUGGGCCCUCUGUGUGUGAGCAUGUGGUUCAGGCCAGAGAUUGUCUCUUUUUUCUCUCUCUUCUUGUUCUUUAUAUCAUUCCAAGACCUGCAUGAGCAUCUGGAUGUCUUAGAAGUCGGACCAGAUGACCUUUAAGAGUCCCUUCCAACUCGAAUUUGUCUACGAUUCUAUGAUCUCUACAGUGCCAAUAGCAUGGAGCGCAACAAAAUCAGAGCACAGCGAUGUGGUGUUUAAUCACACUGGUCUCAUAAAAGCAACCUGGCUGGAGCAGUUUGGAGCUGAAGGCAUUUCUGAACCUCGAGUGCAGCCAACCACGGAGGUAUCGUGCACAGGGAAACCAUCCUUUUAAAGAUACUGCAUGCACAAGAAGAAGAGAGGGGGCCAAAAGUGGAUCCUUGGAGUGAAAAGGAUGGUCAUUGCAGGAGAGAAAGACAGCCUACACACUGCCAUCACACCAUUUUAGGCUGCAGCUGUGUGUUGGCAGACCUCCAAACCCCAUUACCCCCAACCCACUCUCCUCCUGUAUAAGCAAUUACAGAGCCAGCAGCAACCCUCACUUCUGCUCCUGAGACAAAGGCAAAUUCCUCCAUAUGAAGUGGUGUGCAACUGGAUGGGCAGGUCCUAGCUGGAUUUUGCUGAGCUUUCUGCUUUCAGGUCUCCCUUCCUAGAAGGUAUAGGUCCAAACUAAAGUAGGUGCAUUAGCUUGGAGUUAGGAAGACCUCAGGUGCUUGAAUUAAUGUGGCGAA
Non-coding RNA from Meleagris gallopavo (turkey), 1954 nucleotides. The record is from RefSeq and is a predicted model, not a curated record. Lineage: Eukaryota; Metazoa; Chordata; Aves; Galliformes; Phasianidae.